This 254-nucleotide ribosomal RNA is filed under the name uncultured bacterium. RNAcentral describes it as "partial 16S ribosomal RNA". It matches the Rfam family "Bacterial small subunit ribosomal RNA", at positions 524 to 776 of the family's 1533-position model. The record is from RNAcentral.
UACGUAGGGUGCGAGCGUUAAUCGGAAUUACUGGGCGUAAAGCGUGCGCAGGCGGUUUUGUAAGCCAGGGGUGAAAUCCCCGGGCUCAACCUGGGAAUGGCAUUUGGGACUGCAAGGCUGGAGUGCGGCAGAGGAGACUGGAAUUCCUGGUGUAGCGGUGAAAUGCGUAGAUAUCUGGAGGAACACCGGUGGCGAAGGCGGCAUCCUGGACCAAUACUGACGCUGAGUGAGCGAAAGCCAGGGGAGCAAACGGG